CACCGGAGCUUGCUCCACCGGAAAAAGAGGAGUGGCGAACGGGUGAGUAACACGUGGGUAACCUGCCCAUCAGAAGGGGAUAACACUUGGAAACAGGUGCUAAUACCGUAUAACAAUCGAAACCGCAUGGUUUUGAUUUGAAAGGCGCUUUCGGGUGUCGCUGAUGGAUGGACCCGCGGUGCAUUAGCUAGUUGGUGAGGUAACGGCUCACCAAGGCCACGAUGCAUAGCCGACCUGAGAGGGUGAUCGGCCACAUUGGGACUGAGACACGGCCCAAACUCCUACGGGAGGCAGCAGUAGGGAAUCUUCGGCAAUGGACGAAAGUCUGACCGAGCAACGCCGCGUGAGUGAAGAAGGUUUUCGGAUCGUAAAACUCUGUUGUUAGAGAAGAACAAGGAUGAGAGUAACUGUUCAUCCCUUGACGGUAUCUAACCAGAAAGCCACGGCUAACUACGUGCCAGCAGCCGCGGUAAUACGUAGGUGGCAAGCGUUGUCCGGAUUUAUUGGGCGUAAAGCGAGCGCAGGCGGUUUCUUAAGUCUGAUGUGAAAGCCCCCGGCUCAACCGGGGAGGGUCAUUGGAAACUGGGAGACUUGAGUGCAGAAGAGGAGAGUGGAAUUCCAUGUGUAGCGGUGAAAUGCGUAGAUAUAUGGAGGAACACCAGUGGCGAAGGCGGCUCUCUGGUCUGUAACUGACGCUGAGGCUCGAAAGCGUGGGGAGCAAACAGGAUUAGAUACCCUGGUAGUCCACGCCGUAAACGAUGAGUGCUAAGUGUUGGAGGGUUUCCGCCCUUCAGUGCUGCAGCUAACGCAUUAAGCACUCCGCCUGGGGAGUACGACCGCAAGGUUGAAACUCAAAGGAAUUGACGGGGGCCCGCACAAGCGGUGGAGCAUGUGGUUUAAUUCGAAGCAACGCGAAGAACCUUACCAGGUCUUGACAUCCUUUGACCACUCUAGAGAUAGAGCUUCCCCUUCGGGGGCAAAGUGACAGGGGGUGCAUGGUUGCCUCAGCUCCGGGCCGGGAAAUGUUGGGUUAAGUCCCGCACCGAGCCAACCC
RNAcentral lists this ribosomal RNA (1054 nucleotides) under Enterococcus faecium. RNAcentral describes it as "bacterial SSU rRNA". It matches the Rfam family "Bacterial small subunit ribosomal RNA", at positions 70 to 1104 of the family's 1533-position model. Lineage: Bacteria; Bacillati; Bacillota; Bacilli; Lactobacillales; Enterococcaceae. The record is from RNAcentral.